GACGAACCGUGCGAACGUUAUUCGGAAUCACUGGGCUUAAAGCGCGUGUAGGCGGGCGGGCACGUCCGGUGCUGAAAUCCCCCGGCUCAACCGGGGAACGGGCGCGGAUACGACUCUCCUUGAGGGGCGUAGGGGGACCUGGAACUUCCGGUGGAGCGGUGAAAUGCGUUGAGAUCGGAAGGAACGCCCGUGGCGAAGGCGGCCUGCUGGGCUGACCCUGACACUGAGGCGCGAAGGCGUGGGGAGCGAACGGG
Molecule: ribosomal RNA, 254 nt
Filed under: uncultured bacterium
Lineage: Bacteria
Description: partial 16S ribosomal RNA
Rfam family: Bacterial small subunit ribosomal RNA
Source: RNAcentral